CAAUAGCGUAUAUUAAAGUUGUUGCGGUUAAAAAGCUCGUAGUUGGAUUUCAGUAGCAUUUAACAAUCCUUUGCGGCAUUGUUAGUGUUACAUUUCGAAAAUAAAACAAGGAUUGAUUUCUUUUGUUAUUUUUUGAAACUGUUACUUUGAGGAAAUUAGAGUGUUUAAAGCAGAUUAUUGUCAUGUAUAUAUUAGCAUGGAAUAACAAUAAGGAUUACAGUUCAUAUUUGUUGGUUUGAUUUCUGUAAUAAUGAUAAAUAGGGACAGUCGGGGGCAUUUGUAUUUAACAGUCAGAGGUGGAAUUCUUGGAUUUGUUAAGGACAUACUACUGCGAAAGCAUUUGCCAAGGAUGUUUUCAUUGA
Molecule: ribosomal RNA, 362 nt
Filed under: uncultured eukaryote
Lineage: Eukaryota
Description: partial 18S ribosomal RNA
Rfam family: Eukaryotic small subunit ribosomal RNA
Source: RNAcentral